RNAcentral lists this ribosomal RNA (494 nucleotides) under uncultured bacterium. RNAcentral's name for it is "partial 16S ribosomal RNA". It matches the Rfam family "Bacterial small subunit ribosomal RNA", at positions 28 to 506 of the family's 1533-position model. The record is from RNAcentral.
GACGAACGCUGGCGGCGUGCCUAAUACAUGCAAGUCGAACGCUGAAGGAGGAGCUUGCUUCUCUGGAUGAGUUGCGAACGGGUGAGUAACGCGUAGGUAACCUGCCUGGUAGCGGGGGAUAACUAUUGGAAACGAUAGCUAAUACCGCAUAAGAGUAGAUGUUGCAUGACAUUUACUUAAAAGGUGCAAUUGCUUCACUACCAGAUGGACCUGCGUUGUAUUAGCUAGUUGGUGAGGUAACGGCUCACCAAGGCAACGAUACAUAGCCGACCUGAGAGGGUGAUCGGCCGCACGGGGACUGAGACACGGCCCAGACUCCUGCGGGAGGCAGCAGUAGGGAAUCUGCGGCAAUGGACGGAAGUCUGACCGAGCAACGCCGCGUGAGUGAAGAAGGUGUUCGGAUCGUAAAGCUCUGUUGUAAGAGAAGAACGAGUGUGAGAGUGGAAAGUGCACACGGUGACGGUAUCGUACCAGAAAGGGACGGCAAACUACGU